This is a small nucleolar RNA of Boleophthalmus pectinirostris (great blue-spotted mudskipper), 136 nucleotides long. RefSeq annotates it as small nucleolar RNA SNORA22. The transcript has a single exon. The record is from RefSeq and is a predicted model, not a curated record. NCBI's taxonomy places the organism in Eukaryota, Metazoa, Chordata, Actinopteri, Gobiiformes, Gobiidae.
UUGCACAGUGAACACCCAGGAGUGCUCCUGUGAGUACCCCUGGUCUAAAAUAUCUGUGCUACAGAAAUUCUGGUCUGUACCUCUGCAUUAUGAGAGCCCCAUCUCUCCUACAUGUAUUCAGCGGACCAGGAUAAAA